Molecule: ribosomal RNA, 113 nt
Filed under: Sphaerochaeta sp.
Lineage: Bacteria; Pseudomonadati; Spirochaetota; Spirochaetia; Spirochaetales; Sphaerochaetaceae
Also listed under: 2 other names
Source: RNAcentral
CCCGGUGGCCACAGCAGGGCAGACACACCCGUUCCCAUCCCGAACACGGCAGUUAAGCGCCCUCACGCCGAUGGUACUACGGUUUUCCGUGGGAGAGUAGGUAGCCGCCGGGC